Otolemur garnettii (small-eared galago) is the source of this 109-nucleotide small nuclear RNA. NCBI's taxonomy places the organism in Eukaryota, Metazoa, Chordata, Mammalia, Primates, Galagidae. The record is from Ensembl.
GUGCUCAGUUUGGCAGCACAUAUACUAAAAUCUGAACAAUACAGGGAAGAUUAGAGCAUGGCCCCUGCUCAAGGAAGACACACAAAUUUGUGAACCACUUGAUAUUUUU